RNAcentral lists this long non-coding RNA (3521 nucleotides) under Sus scrofa (pig). RNAcentral describes it as "lncRNA (ENSSSCG00050011556.1)". The record is from RNAcentral. Lineage: Eukaryota; Metazoa; Chordata; Mammalia; Artiodactyla; Suidae.
UUUUUUUUUUUUUGGUCUUUUUAAGGCCGCUCUUACGGCCUUUGGAAGUUCCCAGGCUAGGGGUUGAACUGGAGCUGCUGCUGCCAGGUUACACCACAGCCACACGGGAUCCAAACUUUGUCUGAGAUCACCGAAGCUCAUGGCAAUGCCAGAUCCUUUAACCCACUGAGAGAUGCCAGGGAUCAAACCCACGUCCUCAUAAAUACUAGUCAGGUUCUUAACCCACUGAGCCACAAGAGAAACUCCCCUUGGUGGGUCUAAAGAGCAGCAGUCUGUUGAGCCCCCUGUGUCAGGUGGGACCAGGAUCCACCCUUCUUAUCCUCAUGUAUUCAGACUCUAACCAACCAGGACAUUGUCCCCAGUGCACCAUCAAUCAGCCCAGGUAGCAGGAGGACAGGUCCCAGGAUCACCCUCUCUGUUACACCUGCUGCUCUGACUGUGGGAACCAUCUGUUUAGAUUUCCCAGAAACAGUCUGCAUUUCAGAUACUCUUUCUGUGAGCCCGUACCUCUUAAUUUUUCAUUCGGAAAGCUGGUCUCCAUAGCCAGGGCUAUCGCUGUUGCUCACGGAUGGUUUUGUUGAAUUCCACCAGGUGGCACAGUUCAUCUGGUUUGUCAAGAUCAAAACUGAGCGGAAGAUGCCAGAGGUGAGAUCGUCAGGAAGAGCGGGAACCAGGUGAGCUGCUCUCUGUCCCUCCUGCUGGGGGGGCCAGGGCUGGACUCCAGGGUCAUGCUCCCCACACUGGUAGUGGCCUGUUUGUGCUACCACUUGGGAGGUGGGAGGCAGCCUUAGCCAGUGAGCUGGAACUGUGCUUUUCAGAGACUGGGCUGCACACAGGGUAAUGGGGGCAGUGGGGUUUGCCCAUGAAGGCAGCAGACAGGGGCCAGUCUCUGCAGCAGAGAUGACACACAGGAGAGUGGCACUGCUGGGGGUGCCCCCAAGAAGGAGCCCAUGUGAGACACUUCAGGGGUGCCUCUGGGUGAGCCAAGCUAUAAACUGACCCAAUGGUCUGCAGAUAAAGAGGGACAACAAACAACAUUUUAGCUUUGACGAGAGCCCCCCGCCUUUUUUUCUUUUUCUUUUCUUUUUCUUUCUUUCUUUUUUUUUUUUUUUUGUUGCAUGUGGAGGUUCCCAGGCUAGGGAUGGAAUCAGCCACAGCUGCCGGCCUACACCACAGCCGCAGCAACACCAGAUCCCAGGAGUAUCUGCGACCUACACCGAAGCUUAGGGCAACACAGAUCCUUCACGCACUGAGCAAGGCCAGGGAUUCACCCGAAUCCUCGUGGUUACAAAUUGGGUUCUUAACCUGAUGAGCCACAACGGCAACUCCAAGAGUCACUUUCUAUCAAGAGCUUUCAGAGCUGGCUCACCUGCGAGGGCUUCCUCUUCUGAGAGUCAGAACCAGGACUGGCUACGUAAUCUGUGGGCGCAGUGCAGGGCUCUGGUGUAAAGAGCCUAAGAAUUAGAAGACAGCGAAGGCAAAGCAUUAAAACAAGUGGGGCUCAGAUGGGGGCCGUGCACCUGCACAGGUGGUACCCGGUGGAGCUGGUCCCCUGGAAAUCCUUGAACCCCCAGUGUCAAGUGGAGAAGAGGGGAUCCGUCAGUGACCACAGGCCCCCACCUUCCUUCAAGAACGUCCUCCUUCCAGACCACCUGGGGCUUCCUCCCUGCCCUGUGCACCUGCUCCUCCCACUGCCCCCAUACCUGCUGCCCAUGACUGGGGGUGGGGGCGUGGGAGGGGUAGAUAGCACCCCACACCCACAGGCUGGGGACAUGACCAAAGGAAAAAAGUGCCCCCAUCUAGAAUUUUGCACUGCUCACGAUGGUUAUUGUUUAUCUUUAAGUAACGUUUUUCAAGGCAGGCGGUGUUCCUUUCCCCUGGUGGCAGCCUCUUGCCAUCAGAUGCCUCCCAGGGACUCCGCGCCGGUGGCGAGCAUGAGGGUCUCUCAAUCUUCCUCUAAUGUCUGCAAGUGCGGCUGCGAUCCGGGCCGCAGUUCUGGAGAUGGAAAGCUGGCUGUCUGCCUGCUGAUAACUUUCAGCGGUGCUGCUGCUGCGGGAUGCAGCAGGAAUACUAAUCUCGGGCCCCGGGCAGGGGAGGACUUGUCUGGAUUCCAGCCCACUGUGGUUUGGGCUGCAUUUUUUACACAGUAUUUAUAUAGAAAAAGAUGACAGUGUGGCUCUUAAUCACGUGGAGCCCAGCCUCUACCAGCCGCACCACCUUUGGGACGUAGAGGUGAAGGGGGAGCGCCCUGCUCCCGGGCUCAGGUCGCACCACCCCCUCCCGCCACUCCUCCAGCCCAGGGCUGGGGUCUUCCUGCUGCUGCUGGUCUCUGGGUUUCUUCACCACCCGAGUUCUCAUCUUCCUUCUCCUCCAGGAAACCAACCCUGUAUUCAGGUCCCUCUGUUGAAAGGGGUUUCUGUUAGGCCCUGACUGAAUUACAUGGUCAGUAGCACGACAUGGGACAUUCAGGGCGUCGUAGCAGGUAAAGCUUUCCAUCAGUAAAAGCUAUUAUUGUUGUGGUUCAGCGGGUUAAGAACCAGCAUUGUCUCUGCAAGGAUGCGGGUUCAAUCCCUGGCCUCUCUUGGGGUUAAGGGUCCAGGAUCUGGCAUUGCCACAAGCUGCGGCAUAGGUCACAGAUGCGGCUUGGAUACCGUGUCGCUAUGACUGUGCUGUCGGCCGGCAGCUGCAGCUCUCAUUUGACCCAUGGCCCAGUAAUUUCCAUGUGCCACAAAUGUGGCCAUUAAAAAAACUACUGUUGUUAUUAUUGCUGUUGUCAAUAUUGUUUAUGCUAAUAUUAUUACUGCUGCUGACCUUACAUUCUCUGCUUUUCAAGUUUGUGGAUCUCUGUAAUCAGUGCUUAGGCCUAUGGAGCAGGGAGGGCACUGGUGGGACUGGUCCUGGACACACAGUUGGGUUGCAUCAAAGACUAGUGGUCCCCAGGGUAGGAGAGCCUGGGCAGGUGUGCAGCAGGCCAGCUGAGUUAGGUGAGCGACAAGGUCAUGUGGGAACCAGCUGCUCAGACACACUGGCUUGGUAAGAUCAGGUGUAUGGACUCUGGGGAGGUACAUUUCCUGCAUCGGGGCUCUUUCUGGAAAGGGUAUGUAUGGCCCCAAGCUUGGGGAAGGGAGUGCUUGUCUCAGAGCAAACACCUGGCUCACUCAGCCCCCACUGUGGGCUCUGCAGCCCACUGUGUCUAGUGUAGAGUCCCUGUGGAGCCAGGGAGAGACUGAGAGUGGGCCCUCCUUCAGCUUCUUGCUACAGUUCUUUACCAGCUUGCAGCCUGGAUAGAAGCACUAUAAACUUCUGGCUCGCAGUUAGCACCUUGGGCAACAUUUAAAAAAAUAAACUUUUUUUGUUUUUGUCUUUUUAGGGCUGCUCCUGCGGCACAUGGGGGUUCCCAGGCUAGGGGUCGAAUCGGAGGUAUAGCUGCUGGCUUACACCACAGCAACACCAGAUCCUUAACCCAUUGAGCGAGGCCAGGGAUCAGACCUAUGUCCUCAUGGAUAUUAGUCAGAUUCGUU